UCGCGUAUCGCGAGCACCUUGAGUGAGUUUCUUCUGGACCGGACACCUUACAAGGCUUCGGCUAAGUAAGAGUCUGAACUAAACCUCUCUUUGGUUAAUGACUAUCUGCACGAUGGUCAACGGAUGACUUAGUCGUCCCGCACGUUCAACUGUGUCCUCGAAAAUCUUUCGAGAGCCAACUGCUUCGGCAGGGAGCUCAAGGGAAUCUUAGGGGCUGCAUUCGGUAGCGAUAAGUUGCCGAGUGCAUACCUCUGACCUGGGCCUGUAGCUCAGUUGGCUAGAGCGCACCCCUGAUAAGGGUGAGGUCGGUAGUUCGAAUCUACCCAGGCCCACCAUCCUCUUGACGAGCCUCCUUGAUGGAGAUAAUCUAAUCAAGUUGGUGCGAUGGGGCUGUAGCUCAGUUGGGAGAGCGCCUGCUUUGCAAGCAGGAUGUCAUCGGUUCGAUCCCGGUCAGCUCCACCAAUACUCUCGAAAAGAUAGAGAUCUGGAUGAGGUUGAGACCAAAUGGUCUGAGCCUUGGACAGAGCAUCGUCCAGCACCUCAGGGUGCAGCACGCAAAGCGUGUGUGAUGUUUGACAACUGAAUAGAUUGGGUAAACAUAACUACAAGGCUGAGCCGUCAGCAUGCAGGUUGUUUCUGCGUAACUGACGAUUUAGUGAAUGUGUCUUUAGGAUAAAGUAACAAGGCGAAUAAAUGGACACUCGCAACAGAGUUAAUCUGCGUGCGAGUAAAUUUCUAUGAACAAGCUACUAAGGGCGCCACGGUGGAUGCCUUGGCAGAAUCAGGGGAUGAAGGACGUGGCAAGCUGCGAUAAGCUUCGGGAG
Molecule: unclassified non-coding RNA, 824 nt
Filed under: Terriglobus sp.
Lineage: Bacteria; Pseudomonadati; Acidobacteriota; Terriglobia; Terriglobales; Acidobacteriaceae
Description: partial may contain 16S ribosomal RNA, 16S-23S ribosomal RNA intergenic spacer, and 23S ribosomal RNA
Rfam family: tRNA (bases 259-332)
Source: RNAcentral